GCAUUUCAAACCGCCGCUGCCGGCGCUCGUCGCCUCGCCGCGGCGUCGUCACUGUUCCGGCUCGUCGCCGCGCGCGCGCGCGGCCGCGCGGGGCUCUCCCUUGCUCUGCCACUCUACUGCCAUGGGCGACCGCUUCCUCUUUUAUCCCCUUGUGUCCUCCUGCAUGGCCUGGCCUGGACUGGACCUGAGAGUUGCUGGUGGCGCCGCCGGCACGGCGCCUCCUACGUGUUCGACGGAAUGCCCAAGCCGUUUCACCCCUGCUGGUGCUGCAUCUACCUGAUCCAUCGUACCAUUAAUUAGCCCGGUCAGUGGGAAGUGGGAACGGUAAAAGAGCACCUGCGCUGUUUAAAGGUUUGGAGGUUUGGGAAUGGAGCUUGCCGAUGUAGCUGGUGAAGAAGAAGCUAAAAGCCAAGGUGAUGGAUUGUGGUCUAAUUACCUAGACAUCGAGCAUGUGAAAACUGUAUCCCCUGAGACAUAAAACAGAUGUGCCAGGGAAUGCCAUCUGAUAGCUGGCAUGGUGAAAACAUGAAGCAUCCGAUACUUGGAAACGGUUUGUCCCUUACUUCUACUCUUUUACAUGUAUAUGUAGCAUGCUCAUUCUGUUAAGAGUAUUGAGGGUAUUAUAGACAUUUCUACUUCUCUUGUACAUAUUUAUAUGCUCUUUGAGCUAAGUCAAUUGCAAUAGUUGAAAUCCCCAAUUUCUAUCUUCUCUCCAAAAGUGACAUGGUAUCAGAGCAAGGGAGCAAACCCUAGCCGUCGAUCCAAGUCCACGCCGGCACGCCGGCGGCGGCUCGCCGCCGGCAAGCCCAACUAACCCGUCCACAUCCUCAUUGAGUAGUAGUAAGUGCAACAGCACCGUUGUCAGCUCAGUUUCGUCCCCAAUCAGCAAAGGUUCUAGCAGCAGCACCACUUCCUCGUUCUCCUGUCAUCAAGUCCAUCGACAGCCCAUCGCGGCGGAAGUCGCGGUCAUCGCCGCCGGUCGCGCGCCAUCCGUGCCGCCCAGAUCUGGGCCGCCGCCCGCCGCAUCAAAGGCAGUCGUCAUCACUGAUUGUUGCUUUCUCCUCUUCAAGCGGCAGCAGCAGCGAGCCUGUCGUUCUCCAGUUCAUCUCCAAUGAGCAAACAAACAGGAGCAGCAAUCAGCCAAUCAGUGCCCCCGUCGUGGGUGCUCGUCCUCCGCCGGCCAGGCCCUCGUCGUCCAUUGCGGCAAGCCGCUGCCGUCCACCCAUCGAGCCGGCCAGCCGCCGAUGCUCAUCGUCAUCAUCUUCUCAUCGUCCCAGGCUAUUCCUGAACUUCAGAUCCACAUCAACCCCUCUCUCCGUCUUUGUUUUUCUGUUGCGUGUAUGCUCAUGGUCAAGUAGCAACAGGAUAGAUAGGAGCAGAUUUGAGGCUCUUGGACUCUUUGGUUAUGCAGCUGGGUUACAGCUAAUUAGUGAUUGAAGAAUGGGUUCCUGCUACUGUCAUUGUUCUUUUUGCAGCCACUACUAUCGAUAAGCCUUCAAAUCAAUUUCAUGUCUUGGUCAUCAAUUUACUAUAUUUCAUAUCAAGUCCAUCCAAGUCCAAUACUCCAAUGCAUAUCCUUUAAUUUGUUGAAUUUGCACCAGUUCAUCUCUUUUGCUACUACUUAGUGUCUGCUACUAUCAUUGAGUCAAAUUUCUCUACAAUUUAUCGAGUCAAUCCAAAUCCAUUGCUUACCCUCAAUUCGUCAAAGUCAUGCCAAUUCAUCUCUUCAUUGUCUUUUCUACAUCACCAACUCGCUGUCAGAGUUGGCUUUAAUCAUCACCAGUUCCCCGUCGGAGCUGGCCUUCAUUGUCACUUCAUCAUCUCCAUGUCGGAGCUUGUCAACAUGAUCAUCAUCACUCAGUGAAGGUCCGAAGAACAGUUUGUGAAGGGCCUUCAUCAACAUCAAUGUCUCAUCAUCAGUCAAAGGACCGAAGAACAGUUUGUGAAGGUCCAUUGUCAUCAUCAUCAUCAUCAUCAACAUCUCCGAAUCAAUGAAGAGCCGAAGAACAGUUUGUGAAGGCUCCAAGGUCCAGUUCAUUGAGAAGGGGAUACAUCUUUUCUUCUUCAUCAUCCUAGAAUUGGCACACUUCGACGACAUCAUCAAGGCUUUGGAGAUAGGCUAAUAUUUGGAUUGUGUUCUAGUGUUUAGUUUACCUUUCAAAUGCAAUGUUAUUGCAUACACAUUGCAUUUGAGUGGGGGUGUUAAGAGUAUUGAGGGUAUUAUAGACAUUUCUACUUCUCUUGUACAUAUUUAUAUGCUCUUUGAGCUAAGUCAAUUGCAAUAGUUGAAAUCCCCAA
This is a long non-coding RNA of Oryza sativa Japonica Group (Japanese rice), 2298 nucleotides long. RefSeq lists it as uncharacterized. The record is from RefSeq and is a predicted model, not a curated record. NCBI's taxonomy places the organism in Eukaryota, Viridiplantae, Streptophyta, Magnoliopsida, Poales, Poaceae.